UACGUAGGGUGCGAGCGUUAAUCGGAAUUACUGGGCGUAAAGCGUGCGCAGGCGGUCUGUUAAGACCGAUGUGAAAUCCCCGGGCUUAACCUGGGAACUGCAUUGGUGACUGGCAGGCUAGAGUAUGGCAGAGGGGGGUAGAAUUCCACGUGUAGCAGUGAAAUGCGUAGAGAUGUGGAGGAAUACCGAUGGCGAAGGCAGCCCCCUGGGCCAAUACUGACGCUCAUGCCACGAAAGCGUGGGGAGCAAACAGG
This 254-nucleotide ribosomal RNA is filed under the name uncultured bacterium. RNAcentral describes it as "partial 16S ribosomal RNA". It matches the Rfam family "Bacterial small subunit ribosomal RNA", at positions 524 to 776 of the family's 1533-position model. The record is from RNAcentral.